This 110-nucleotide small nuclear RNA is filed under the name Pteropus vampyrus (large flying fox). RNAcentral's name for it is "U4 spliceosomal RNA (ENSPVAG00000029353.1)". The stretch from base 1 to 61 matches the Rfam family "U4 spliceosomal RNA". Rfam says of the family: U4 small nuclear RNA (U4 snRNA) is a component of the major U2-dependent spliceosome. The structure of U4 snRNA from yeast and human has been reported. The record is from RNAcentral. Lineage: Eukaryota; Metazoa; Chordata; Mammalia; Chiroptera; Pteropodidae.
AGCUUUGCAUACCGGCAGUAUCAUAGCCAAUGAGGUUUAUCCGAGGCACGAUUAUUGCUAAGAGUAUUUUCCAGGAUUCACAGAAUAUCUCAGAAAUGCACAGAAACUGC